UAGGGAAUCUUCCGCAAUGGACGCAAGUCUGACGGAGCAACGCCGCGUGAGUGAAGAAGGAUUUAGGUUCGUAAAACUCUGUUGUUAGAGAAGAACAGCGCAUAGAGUAACUGUUAUGCGUGUGACGGUAUCUAACCAGAAAGCCACGGCUAACUACGUGCCAGCAGCCGCGGUAAUACGUAGGUGGCAAGCGUUGUCCGGAUUUAUUGGGCGUAAAGCGAGCGCAGGCGGUCAAUUAAGUCUGAUGUGAAAGCCCCCGGCUCAACCGGGGAGGGUCAUUGGCAACUGGUUGACUUGAGUGCAGAAGAGGAGAGUGGAAUUCCAUGUGUAGCGGUGAAAUGCGUAGAUAUAUGGAGGAACACCAGUGGCGAAGGCGACUCUCUGGUCUGUAACUGACGCUGAGGCUCGAAAGCGUGGGUAGCAAACAGG
This 429-nucleotide ribosomal RNA is filed under the name Bacteroidota bacterium. RNAcentral describes it as "Bacteroidetes bacterium partial 16S ribosomal RNA". It matches the Rfam family "Bacterial small subunit ribosomal RNA", at positions 355 to 776 of the family's 1533-position model. Lineage: Bacteria; Pseudomonadati; Bacteroidota. The record is from RNAcentral.